This 827-nucleotide long non-coding RNA is filed under the name Lactuca sativa (garden lettuce). RNAcentral describes it as "long non-coding RNA (LSAT_LNC006045)". Lineage: Eukaryota; Viridiplantae; Streptophyta; Magnoliopsida; Asterales; Asteraceae. The record is from RNAcentral.
CUUUCUUUGUUCAAGAAUCAGUGUAACUCCAAUAAGAAAUUUAUAGGUAUGAAGCAAUAAAUUUGUUCUAAAACAUAGGUUUUGUUUUUGAAACUUAUCUAAUUUUGUUCGUUUGAUUAACUGGCGUCCCCAACCUCUUUAUCCUCCAUCAAAAUUAUAGGGUAAUUCACCUUACGAAGACAGCAACAACCGGAUACUUCCGACAUACCAACUACUGCUUAGAAACACCAGGUGCGCUAUUGUAUAAAGUUAAUUAUGAUAUAUGUAUGUAUUUUUGCUGAGCAAUUCCAUUUUCUUUCCUUCAUACAGAUCAAAUAAACCUAAGCUGAGCUAUGAUAUUGUGCUUAAAUACCAAGUCUGACUUCAGUUGACUAAUGUUUGGUUGAAUUUUAUGCUUUAACAGUAGUUAUUUCUCAUAGUGCUGGUUGGAGUUUCUUAGCUUUGUUGUCAUAAUUAUUUCUUACAGGAAAUUUAGGUUGUAGAACUCGAGCUUUUAUAUAAUUAAAGAGGAAGAAUAGAGAUUGGAGAAAAAAACAAAGAAAAUAACAAAAUAAAGGUAUUUUUUUUUAACUAUCAAUGGUAUUUCUUAUCUGAUGUCAAUAAUUGUUUCUUGAAUUUGCAAUUGUAGAAGAAUAUGAAGUUUUAUUUACGUUACACAUAUCAGUUCCACUGGGCGCUGGUUCCAUAUUUUGACCAUUAAAGAGUCAAACCAGAUCUGUCAUUAUUUUCAAUAAAUUUUAAUUUUUUUGUCAUUUUCUUUUGAUGUUUUACCCUAAUUUCGAAAAUAGGCCAACAAGGAGAAUGGAGGAAUCUAUAGAAACAAUUCU